GACGGAGGAUGCAAGUGUUAUCCGGAAUCACUGGGCGUAAAGCGUCUGUAGGUGGUCAAAUAAGUCAACUGUUAAAUCUUGAGGCUCAACCUCAAAAUCGCAGUCGAAACUAUUAGACUAGAGUAUAGUAGGGGUAAAGGGAAUUUCCAGUGGAGCGGUGAAAUGCGUAGAUAUUGGGAGGAACACCAGUGGCGAAGGCGGCUCACUGGACCGGAACUGACGCUGAGGCGCGAAAGCGUGGGGAGCAAACAGG
Molecule: ribosomal RNA, 253 nt
Filed under: uncultured bacterium
Lineage: Bacteria
Description: partial 16S ribosomal RNA
Rfam family: Bacterial small subunit ribosomal RNA
Source: RNAcentral